GCUCAAAACUGGUACAGUAGAAAGCUUGGAUGUCUUGGUUAAGGAGUUUGUAGCUGCCAGCGAUGAAGAGAAGAAAUCCGUGUUUACCCGAAUGGAAGAGGAAGUUGAGAAGCUGAAGGGUUCUGCCUCAAGGCACGGGAAGAUUUACUUGAAAGCUGCCAAGAAUUACUUG
This is a long non-coding RNA of Glycine soja, 172 nucleotides long. RefSeq lists it as uncharacterized. Lineage: Eukaryota; Viridiplantae; Streptophyta; Magnoliopsida; Fabales; Fabaceae. The transcript has 2 exons. The record is from RefSeq and is a predicted model, not a curated record.